This 73-nucleotide transfer RNA is filed under the name Stegodyphus mimosarum. It matches the Rfam family "tRNA". Rfam says of the family: Transfer RNA (tRNA) molecules are approximately 80 nucleotides in length. Their secondary structure includes four short double-helical elements and three loops (D, anti-codon, and T loops). The record is from Rfam by way of RNAcentral. Lineage: Eukaryota; Metazoa; Arthropoda; Arachnida; Araneae; Eresidae.
GCCUUCGUGGUAUAGUGGUCAGCACACUGAGCCGGUAUUUCAGAGGUCCGUGGUUCGAUUCCCGGCGAAGGCA